CGGAGAUGUGGCACUGAGGGACGUGGUCAGCAGGAGCAUUCAGGAUGGAAGUGCUGCCAGACCCACUUCGUCUCAGCUGCCUGUCGCCCCCAGAGCUGCAGCUGUAUGCCAUCCCCUUCCCACCAGGCAGGCAGACUGCAGCUGGAGGCACCACUGCUGCUCCGGGAUGUGCUUUGUUCUGUCCAUUCAUUUUGCAAAUCCUCCAGCGUGGGGAAGAGGAGGAUCAGACCUCAGGGUAAUGUGAGGAGCAGGCCAGGCAGCAGCUUUGCUUUCCGUCUGUCUUCAGCAGCCCAAUGCUCCGACCAGGAGCAGCUCAGCUCUCAAACCCAAAGCCAAAUGAAAGCCAACGCUCCUCUCCAGGCAGGGAAACUGAGGCACAGCUUUAAGAAAGAAUGAAAGGAGGGAAGAAAAAAAAAACAACAGAAAAAAGAGGCCAGGCUGACCCUAACCCCAACCCUGACUGAACUCUUGCUCCCCACAGGCACCCAUGGGUGCUGGCAGGACAUUUCAUGGAGAAGCUGCUUGCAUGUGCUGAGGGGGCACAGCAGCAAUAAAACCCUCGCUGUGAA
Molecule: long non-coding RNA, 569 nt
Organism: Lagopus leucura (white-tailed ptarmigan)
Lineage: Eukaryota; Metazoa; Chordata; Aves; Galliformes; Phasianidae
Exons: 2
Source: RefSeq, a predicted model, not a curated record